RNAcentral lists this non-coding RNA (93 nucleotides) under Roseibium suaedae. RNAcentral's name for it is "Labrenzia suaedae Glycine sequence". It matches the Rfam family "Glycine riboswitch aptamer". Rfam says of the family: This family represents the bacterial glycine riboswitch. The record is from Rfam by way of RNAcentral. Lineage: Bacteria; Pseudomonadati; Pseudomonadota; Alphaproteobacteria; Hyphomicrobiales; Stappiaceae.
UGACGUCAAGCGGGAGAGGCCGGAUGAAAAGAUACCGGCGCCGAAGGAGCAACCGCCCCGGAAACUCUCAGGCAAAUGGACCGCUUGCCGAUA